Molecule: ribosomal RNA, 207 nt
Filed under: uncultured bacterium
Lineage: Bacteria
Description: partial 16S ribosomal RNA
Rfam family: Bacterial small subunit ribosomal RNA
Source: RNAcentral
UGCGCAGGCGGCCUGCUAAGUCAGGGGUGAAAUAUGACGGCUCAACCGUCAAACUGCCCCUGAAACUGGCUGGCUUGAGUCCGGGAGAGGAAGGUGGAAUUCCAGGUGUAGCGGUGAAAUGCGUAAAUAUCUGGAGGAACACCAGUGGCGAAGGCGGCCUUCUGGCCCGGAACUGACGCUCAGGCACGAAAGCAUGGGGAGCGAACG